Molecule: long non-coding RNA, 768 nt
Organism: Gadus macrocephalus (Pacific cod)
Lineage: Eukaryota; Metazoa; Chordata; Actinopteri; Gadiformes; Gadidae
Exons: 3
Source: RefSeq, a predicted model, not a curated record
UUCUGAGUGGCCAUGACAACAAAACCAAGUGACUGCGUCAAGAAAUAAGGGGCUGCGAGAGUAUCCGGCGGCGGCGCCCGACCGACCAUGCACACGGUGAGAUCCAGCGGCACGCCAUUCAACACGGAGCCAUGGGCUGGCACUCACCUGGACCCGGGGCGGGGGCCCAACUACAGGCCUCCAUCCUCUGCUGCGGUUCCGAUGAGAACAACAGGGGCCAGGGCACAGGGUGAUGACAGGUCACUUGGAGCUCAGAGCCUCAGACCCAGUAGGGGCUUUGUGUCUGACCUGCUGUGCUCCCCCAUCAAUUUGAGGCCUUUUGACCAAAUCAGAUUCUCCUUGACCCACUGCAACUAUUUGAGCUUUGUCUAGGUCUAGAAUGAUCGUGGCAGCAUUGCCAUUCAGUAUGCCUUAAGACUGGCCUGGCUGCUGCAGUGGAACGGCAGGGCCAUUUAAAUAACGGUACGUCUAUGUCUACAAACAAAGUCUGUUGUGAUGCCUCACAUCACGAUCCCCUCUCCUCAUCAGUGCGGUCAGUGGGUUAGAGAUGAUGGAAGGACGGUGCAUUAGUAGAGUUAGUCUAGAGAGACACUUACACUGGGAGGGAAGAGGUAGGGCCUGGUCUAAUAAAGAGACACUUACACUGGGAGGGAAGAGGUAGGGCCUGGUCUAAUAAAGAGACACUGGGGGGGAAGAGGUAGGGCCUGGUCUAAUGAAGAGACACUUACACUGCGAGGGAAGAGGUAGGGCCUGGUCUAAUAAAGAGAC